CUAGAGACCGGCGCACGGGUGCGUAACGCGUAUGCAAUCUACCUUUUACAGAGGGAUAGCCCAGAGAAAUUUGGAUUAAUACCUCAUAGUAUUAUAGAAUGGCAUCAUUUUAUAAUUAAAGUCACAACGGUAAAAGAUGAGCAUGCGUCCCAUUAGCUAGUUGGUAAGGUAACGGCUUACCAAGGCUACGAUGGGUAGGGGUCCUGAGAGGGAGAUCCCCCACACUGGUACUGAGACACGGACCAGACUCCUACGGGAGGCAGCAGUGAGGAAUAUUGGACAAUGGGCGCAAGCCUGAUCCAGCCAUGCCGCGUGCAGGAUGACGGUCCUAUGGAUUGUAAACUGCUUUUAUACGAGAAGAAACAACAUUACGUGUAAUGUCUUGACGGUAUCGUAAGAAUAAGGAUCGGCUAACUCCGUGCCAGCAGCCGCGGUAAUACGGAGGAUCCAAGCGUUAUCCGGAAUCAUUGGGUUUAAAGGGUCCGUAGGCGGUUUGGUAAGUCA
RNAcentral lists this ribosomal RNA (504 nucleotides) under Flavobacterium sp. Its description in RNAcentral is "bacterial SSU rRNA". It matches the Rfam family "Bacterial small subunit ribosomal RNA", at positions 88 to 590 of the family's 1533-position model. Lineage: Bacteria; Pseudomonadati; Bacteroidota; Flavobacteriia; Flavobacteriales; Flavobacteriaceae. The record is from RNAcentral.